This is a long non-coding RNA of Podarcis raffonei (Aeolian wall lizard), 895 nucleotides long. RefSeq lists it as uncharacterized. NCBI's taxonomy places the organism in Eukaryota, Metazoa, Chordata, Lepidosauria, Squamata, Lacertidae. The record is from RefSeq and is a predicted model, not a curated record. The transcript is spliced from 2 exons.
UCUUAAAUAUAUAUAUAUUUAUAUAUAUAUAGGGGAGCUCGCAGGAAGUCCGGGGCUCCCUUGAAAAGAAAAAGCCCGCGCGAGCGAGCAAGCAAGCAAGAGAGAAAUCGCCGUCGCCCAAGCGCCCCCCGACCCAGCUGGGAAGCCUAAAUAGGGGGCCUUUCGCUCGGGGUUUGUUUGCAGCCGCCGAAUGACACGGGAUUAGGAGGCAUCUAUCAGACAAAUAUCUGUAAAGCUGGAGAGUUCAAUCAAGUCCUUGGUACCCUAGCCCUCCCCCACCUUGGUGAUGAAGCACAAUUUACUUCCAAUGACACUGCAUCUCCAGGUAUCUUUUCAAAUUCUUCAUAAAUGUAUAUAUAUAUAUUUUAUUUUCUAUGGGUGACACUUUUCCACUUGGUCGCAAGGGAAAGUGAGAGCAAUAACAACAUUACACAAAAGCACUGUACCGACGACGCCCUGUCUCUCUCUCCAAAAGACUCUCUUUCCCUUUCUCUCUCUCUCUCUCUGGUUUCAGGAACCUCUACAGUUAAUAAGUUAAAUAAAGGGUUUGUACAUAAAUAUUUGUCUAGGGACCCUAUGAUAUCUACAACACAGUAAGGAUCUACAGAAAUGACAAACUUGUACAAACACUACACGGAGUGCAAUUGUUAUAUAACAUUUCAAAUAUACAAAGCUCUGGGUUGCUGUGUUUCUUUUUUUUUUUGCUUUUUCUUAUUUUUUUUAAUAACAAUGGUAUGUACAGAGCAUCACAGUUUAGUGACUUCUUUUUUUUAAAACAGUCCAUAUUCUAGCACUGUUAUUUUUCCCUUUGGUUUGCUAUAAAACCCUUGGUUGGUGUGAUGAUAGGAGGACCCCUCCACACACAGACAAAAAAAGAAAAGAAAAGAAAGAAAAA